RNAcentral lists this ribosomal RNA (490 nucleotides) under Streptococcus mitis. RNAcentral's name for it is "bacterial SSU rRNA". It matches the Rfam family "Bacterial small subunit ribosomal RNA", at positions 1 to 481 of the family's 1533-position model. Lineage: Bacteria; Bacillati; Bacillota; Bacilli; Lactobacillales; Streptococcaceae. The record is from RNAcentral.
UAGAGUUUGAUCCUGGCUCAGGACGAACGCUGGCGGCGUGCCUAAUACAUGCAAGUAGAACGCUGAAGGAGGAGCUUGCUUCUCUGGAUGAGUUGCGAACGGGUGAGUAACGCGUAGGUAACCUGCCUGGUAGCGGGGGAUAACUAUUGGAAACGAUAGCUAAUACCGCAUAAGAGUAGAUGUUGCAUGACAUUUGCUUAAAAGGUGCAAUUGCAUCACUACCAGAUGGACCUGCGUUGUAUUAGCUAGUUGGUGGGGUAACGGCUCACCAAGGCGACGAUACAUAGCCGACCUGAGAGGGUGAUCGGCCACACUGGGACUGAGACACGGCCCAUACUCCUACGGGAGGCAGCAUUAGGGAAUCUUCGGCAAUGGACGGAAGUCUGACCGAGCAACGCCGCGUGAGUGAAGAAGGUUUUCGGAUCGUGAAGCUCUGUUGUAAGACAAGAACGAGUGUGAGAGUGGAAAGUUCACACUGUGACGGUAUCUU